Molecule: small nucleolar RNA, 88 nt
Filed under: Debaryomyces hansenii
Lineage: Eukaryota; Fungi; Ascomycota; Pichiomycetes; Serinales; Debaryomycetaceae
Description: Small nucleolar RNA SNORD24
Rfam family: Small nucleolar RNA SNORD24
About the family: U24 is a member of the C/D class of snoRNA which contain the C (UGAUGA) and D (CUGA) box motifs. C/D box snoRNAs have been shown to act as methylation guides for a number of RNA targets.
Source: Rfam by way of RNAcentral
GCUAGAUGAUGUAUUUCAUAUUUGCUACUUCAGACGGGGCUUGCCAGCUUCGAAUGAGACAUAUUUUAUCACCAAGAUCUCUGAUACU